Long non-coding RNA from Motacilla alba alba, 1970 nucleotides. RefSeq lists it as uncharacterized. The record is from RefSeq and is a predicted model, not a curated record. The transcript has 4 exons. Lineage: Eukaryota; Metazoa; Chordata; Aves; Passeriformes; Motacillidae.
CACACAGUAAGUCCAACAGAUGGAACAAUGAUGCUGCACCCAAGAGCUCGAAAUCUGAACUGUAAUCAUGAUUUUCUCUCUUCCUGGGAUACCAUAUGGGAACACACAGUAAAGUCUGCAAGGCACGCUGGUUAGCAGGGGAAGUACAGCAGAACCAGAGACACAGGAGUGGCAGAUAGAAGACAGAACAGAAAGUGGCAACGGGAGCAAAAGGACUGUGGAAAGCGAGCAGUGAAAGAAAUAGAAUCCCAAGGCAAAAAACAGCCUUCCCACACCACACAAAGGCUCUGGCAUUGUGAUGAUGGUCUUACCUUCACAUCUGAAACAGGAUGAAGAAACUCAAGUGAAAAGAGCCAACAGUGACAGCCUGACAAUGGGAUUUUGUCCUGUCCCUUUCAGAGGCCAUUUCCCCUAAUCCAGGCUGGGCUGUUGAACAAGACCCCCCUGAACAUGAGCAGCACCUCCAGUGAGACAUGAGCCUUCCUGGCAGGUCUUGUUCAACUCUCCAUCACACAAAGGUACUUUUACUACACAUGGAGACUCUCCAUCAUGCUCACUCUGAUUUCUUACUGCUUCAGAUACCACAGCAAUGUUAAGCAAUAUUAAUGAUGUUUAUGCAACCUCUACUGCAAUUCAGUUCCACAGGACAUCAUGUGUCAUUUGAUCCUGUAAUUUUGUAGCCUCUCCAGACUUAAUCUGACCUUAACUGGUUUAACACAACUGACUCAGAACCAAACCAAAAUACUGAACUUGAGGUUGAAUGUGUGGUUGAAGGAUCUUUUUUUUCCUUCUAAACUGAGGCUAGAAAUAAACCAGAGAUAUUCAGUUAUAAGGUCAUCCUGAAUGAAAGAACUGAGAUGAAGAUUUUCUGCUUUCAUUCUGAUCUAUCAAAUGGAGAUGGAAACAUUCUUGAAAUGUUUUGGCUUUGGCAGUAGCUAUGAUCUGUCCUCAGAUGAGCCUGCAUGCAUAAUUGAAAUGAUAGCAGCAGUUCUGCUACUGAGGCUCAUAUGAUACUUACCUUCAAGAUGGUCUGCAAUAACAGGAGUGACAGCAUGAAUUUGGCAUAGAGAACUAUACAGACUGAGCUACAUACCUGUAAGCUACCAUCAUAUGGGAAUGUUUACUCACUGAUAUUUGCUAUUGAAAACAUUGGUAUUUUUUGAAGUAAUUUAUCCUAACCCCUACACUCCUGGAUGUUGAAUGAAGAAUUUUGUCAUGGACUUUCUCCUUGCAUCUCUAUCUGGACAACAUUGUGCAAACACAGCAAAAGUUCCAUCAACUUUGGUAACAUCAAUACAUCACCCUUGACUCACAUAUUGAAUAUGAUGUUCAUUAAAGUUCAUUCCAAUUUAUUAAAAGGGUAUCUAAAUAGAAGAAUGUGCAGUUGACUUCAGCCAGGCCUGAACCAGACACUACAAUUUCUGAAUUACUUUAUUACCCACAGUCAACUAAAUCAAUAAUAUCUGGAUCAAAACCAUCUCUCUUUCAGCCUCAUAAUUACAGAAUGAGAUUCUUCAUUGUACUGUUGUUGUGGAUUAAAUUGAUUCCACAUACUUCCAAAGAAUGGUAUUUUUAAGGGCCCCAUCUGUUCUGUUUUCCUUCUCACGUUCUCCUGUCAGCUAAUUUGUCAACCUUUAACUCCUUACUCGGGCAUCUUCUGAAAAUGUGUAAUCAUCAAUUCCAGUGCAAAACCAAGGUGGAUGCUGCCCAUUAUAACUUAAAUGGCUACAACUCAUCAGUAGCACAAUAUCAAGGGGAGAUUUUGGUAAAGGAAGAGGUCAGAUGAAAAAGUAACACACCUCUUGUGACUCAUGAUCUAAUAUAUUUGUUUGUAUUCAAAAAUUGUAAAAACUCUCUGAAAGAAAGAAAAAAAAAACAAGAAAGAAAAGAAAAAUGAUAACUGCACAUGUUGAUGAUGCCCCAGGAUAUUUUAACUUGCUUGCCAAGAUAUGCUUGGGUUUGUGAAGCUA